Molecule: ribosomal RNA, 529 nt
Filed under: uncultured bacterium
Lineage: Bacteria
Description: bacterial SSU rRNA
Rfam family: Bacterial small subunit ribosomal RNA
Source: RNAcentral
UACGUAGGGAGCGAGCGUUGUCCGGAUUUACUGGGUGUAAAGGGUGCGUAGGCGGAUAAGCAAGUCAGUGGUGAAAUCUAUGGGCUUAACCCAUAAACUGCCAUUGAAACUGUUUGUCUUGAGUGGAGUAGAGGCAGGCGGAAUUCCCGGUGUAGCGGUGAAAUGCGUAGAGAUCGGGAGGAACACCAGUGGCGAAGGCGGCCUGCUGGGCUUUAACUGACGCUGAAGCACGAAAGCAUGGGUAGCAAACAGGAUUAGAUACCCUGGUAGUCCAUGCCGUAAACGAUGAUUACUAGGUGUGGGGGGUCUGACCCCCUCCGUGCCGGAGUUAACACAAUAAGUAAUCCACCUGGGGAGUACGGCCGCAAGGUUGAAACUCAAAGGAAUUGACGGGGGCCCGCACAAGCAGUGGAGUAUGUGGAUUAAUUCGAAGCAACGCGAAGAACCUUACCAGGUCUUGACAUCCAUGUAAUCCUUCAGAGAUGAGGGAGUGCCCUUCGGGGAAACAUGAGACAGGUGGUGCAUGGUU